RNAcentral lists this transfer RNA (72 nucleotides) under Ovis aries (sheep). It matches the Rfam family "tRNA". From Rfam's summary of the family: Transfer RNA (tRNA) molecules are approximately 80 nucleotides in length. The record is from Rfam by way of RNAcentral. Lineage: Eukaryota; Metazoa; Chordata; Mammalia; Artiodactyla; Bovidae.
UCCCUGGUGGUUCAGAUGGUAAAGCGUCUGCCUACAAUGUAGGAGACCUGGGUUCGAUCCCUGGGUGGGGAG